CAGCAGCCGCGGUAAUACAGAGGGUGCAAGCGUUAAUCGGAAUUACUGGGCGUAAAGCGCGCGUAGGUGGUUCGCCAAGUUGGAUGUGAAAUCCCCGGGCUCAACCUGGGAACUGCAUCCAAAACUGGCGAGCUAGAGUAUGGUAGAGGGUGGUGGAAUUUCCUGUGUAGCGGUGAAAUGCGUAGAUAUAGGAAGGAACAUCAGUGGCGAAGGCGACCACCUGGACUGAUACUGACACUGAGGUGCGAAAGCGUGGGGAGCAAACAGGAUUAGAUACCCCUGUAGUCCCUGUCUCUUAUAA
RNAcentral lists this ribosomal RNA (301 nucleotides) under uncultured bacterium. RNAcentral's name for it is "partial 16S ribosomal RNA". It matches the Rfam family "Bacterial small subunit ribosomal RNA", at positions 509 to 809 of the family's 1533-position model. The record is from RNAcentral.